RNAcentral lists this small nuclear RNA (83 nucleotides) under Panthera tigris altaica (Amur tiger). RNAcentral describes it as "U4 spliceosomal RNA (ENSPTIG00000001262.1)". It matches the Rfam family "U4 spliceosomal RNA". From Rfam's summary of the family: U4 small nuclear RNA (U4 snRNA) is a component of the major U2-dependent spliceosome. The structure of U4 snRNA from yeast and human has been reported. The record is from RNAcentral. Lineage: Eukaryota; Metazoa; Chordata; Mammalia; Carnivora; Felidae.
AGCUUUGUGCAGGGGCAGUAUCAUGGCCCUUGAAGAUGAUCUGAGACACGAUUAUUACUAAUUGAAAACUUUUCCCAAAAAGG